GGUUCACAAAGUCUGUAUUUCACAUACAUUGCCAGACUGGCCAACAUUUUUAUGUUCUACCUGUGGUCAUUCUCUUAGCAAAGACUGAGCUUUUGCCUUUUGAAACAUAAAUAGAAAGAUCUUUCAUAACAAUGCUGUUUUGCCCUGUAAAACAGAGUUUGACAUUUUUAACAAUAAUCAUGGUUCAGAAAUGAGAAUUUAUAGACCAGGAAUGCAAAACUGAAUUUCACCAUCAUCUCAGAGAAUCAUCAGUUUAUGGACAUACUAAAGUGAAAAUUCUGUAGACUCAAAUUUCAUUAAUUCUUACCUAGGAUAGGAGAAUCAACUUCUAUUUUAUCUCUGUAGUCCUUUUUCUAACAUUGUACUUGUUACAGGGGAGAUGCCCAACCAGUGUAUUUUUGUAAAUGCCCAGGUAGAAUG
RNAcentral lists this long non-coding RNA (420 nucleotides) under Bos taurus (domestic cattle). RNAcentral describes it as "long non-coding RNA NONBTAT024905". Lineage: Eukaryota; Metazoa; Chordata; Mammalia; Artiodactyla; Bovidae. The record is from RNAcentral.